GAGAGAAACUAGAAGACUUCCUUAAAGGAGAAUGGACCAAGAUCUCCACUACAGUGAAUAUAGUGGAUGUUGUACUGCCUCCAGAGCCCAAGACCAGAGAAAAGUUGUUACAAUAUUCCUGUCAGCUCACACUGGACCCAAACACAGCACACACACACCUCUCUCUGUCUGAAGGGAACAGAAAGGUGACCUGUUUUGGCACAGUCGAACCAUAUCCUUACCAUCCAGACAGAUUCACCAACAGGUACCAGGUUCUGUGUAGAGAGGGUCUGUCUGGAUGCUGUUACUGGGAGGUGGAGAGGAGUGGGGACAGGGUUGAUACAGCAGUCUCAUAUAAAGACAUCAGCAGAACAGGGUCAGAUAGUGGAUUUGGAGACAAUAACAAGUCCUGGAGUUUACAGUGCUAUAGUGAUGGUUAUUGUUUCAGACACAAUAAUGUUGUGACUAAUGUAUCAGGCCCUCAGUC
Non-coding RNA from Salmo salar (Atlantic salmon), 466 nucleotides. Lineage: Eukaryota; Metazoa; Chordata; Actinopteri; Salmoniformes; Salmonidae. The record is from RefSeq and is a predicted model, not a curated record.